AUUUAGGAAAUCUACCCUUUUCUACGAAGAAAUAAAACAUAAACAUGGCAUCAAAUGACGCAAUUCCGAUGGAAAUUCAGUCGGAUAUACCACAGCAGAAGUCGAAGAAAUUAUGGCUAAUGUUAAGCUACAAUCAUGAAUAUGAAAAG
Molecule: long non-coding RNA, 149 nt
Organism: Anneissia japonica
Lineage: Eukaryota; Metazoa; Echinodermata; Crinoidea; Comatulida; Comatulidae
Exons: 3
Source: RefSeq, a predicted model, not a curated record